Macaca mulatta (Rhesus monkey) is the source of this 1616-nucleotide long non-coding RNA. RefSeq lists it as uncharacterized. Lineage: Eukaryota; Metazoa; Chordata; Mammalia; Primates; Cercopithecidae. The record is from RefSeq and is a predicted model, not a curated record.
CACAGAGCAGUGCUCACACGGCAGUAACUGUUCAGAGCUGGAUGGGCUGGGCUCUAACCUUAAGAUUUGCUUCCAUUUCAAUGGGAAUUCCAGGAGCUAUCUUAGAUGAGGAAGGACAAGGGACAAGGAAGAAAGCAUGUGACAGUGGCACCUGGACCUGAGAUCUACAAUUAAAUUAAAUCUUCUGAAUUAUCACUGAAGUUUCCUUCUGUUUCCAAAAGUCUAUCAUCCUCCUAAGAAUAAAAUAAAAUGAGAGCAUAAAUUUUUAGAAAUAGCAGUUGGAAGGCUACAAGCUGGCAUCAACUAAGCCAUCUGAAAUAAUUUUAAAUUUUAUUUGGGACAAAAGAUGAGCAAGGAAAGGAUGAGCCAACUUCUCGGGAAGCCAGUGAAAUGUUAACAGAUGCGGGAGGCAGCGGAACUUCUUCACUCUUAGAUUGCUUCCACAUCCACCCCGAAGGAGAGCGGGGAAGUCUUCAAGCUGUGGAAGGUAGAAGGAGUCGUCGUAAAUCACACAAUGACUGGCAGGGCUGGAAAGGACUCCUCCUCUGAAACAAUGGUUUUCCAGCAAGUCAGAGCACAUCGGCGGCGAGAAGCAGCUGUAUUACCCUACUGCUGAGCUCUGAAGCAUGACUAGGGAAUCAAUACUAGAGAUCACCUCCAGGAGUCAGCAGAUUCGUGGACACCAUAUUUUAUGGGAGACUACUGCCUCUCGGAGCUCUACUUACCACACCACAUUUUCUUAAUACGAUCCAAGAAGAUGUAAAGGAGGCCUACAAGAUGAAAGAGCAAGAAUUCUGGCUUGGAGAAGCUGUCGAACUAGUUCAACAGAAUUAGAAUUUCAUGAGAAACCUUGGGGACCAGAAGAAUAAGCAGGAGAUAUAAGUAAUCAGUCAUUCAAGAAGGCUGCGUGAGAGUCUCUGGGGACAAGCAGGUGAAUUGCGGAGGUGCCGGGAGGCCAUGAGAACGAAGAAGAAAGCAUGAGGAUGCAGUGAGAAGGAAGAAGGGAGGAGAGGGGAGUGGAUGAAGAUGGAAACAAACACAGAGAGAUAAUUAAAUCAGGUGACAACUGCAUGAGAAAACAAGAACUGCUAAGAAGAAGAUGACAUAGCAGCACUGUCACUUUAUGUGCCUGGGAGCACACAAUGGGUUUUGAACCCCAUCCUCUCUUGUACCCCUAAAGGGAACUCUAAAAGUAUUUUGACUUUCCAAAGCUUUUAUUGAUAAAGGAAGGACAUUCUACCUUCUCAAAGUAAAAUUUCACUUAGGAGAGGUACACGAUCAAGGCAGAAGUGUCAUAUACACAUUUGAGUCUUUUGUCCACAAAGAAACUAGUUCUACUAGCCUCUUUGGGGUAAGAACUAGUAGACCUAAGAAAGUUCUGUGAAGUCAACUUCCUUUCUAAACUACCAUGGGUCAGUAAAUAGUGUAAAACUUGUCAGUGUCUUCCAACCCUAGUAUUUGGAAUCCAACCAAAAGAGUCAGUGGGGGCAUGGUUCUCCUCCACCCUGGAACCCUUCCUCCACCUCACACCACAGGUGCAGAGCAAAGCAUGCAUUUUAAAGUCAUUUAUGCUUUUUACAGGAUGACCACAGAGUAUUAAACACUGUGCUUGUUGC